This 247-nucleotide ribosomal RNA is filed under the name uncultured bacterium. Its description in RNAcentral is "partial small subunit ribosomal RNA". It matches the Rfam family "Bacterial small subunit ribosomal RNA", at positions 26 to 285 of the family's 1533-position model. The record is from RNAcentral.
AGAAUCAACGCUGGCGGCGUGCCUAACACAUGCAAGUCGAACGAGAAAGUGGAGCAAUCCAUGAGUAAAGUGGCGACCGGGUGAGUAACACGUGACUAACCUACCUUCGAGUGGGGGAUAACCUCGGGAAAACCGAGGCUAAUACCGCAUAACAUCGCAAGAUCAAAGCAGCAAUGCGCUAGGAAGAGGGGGUCGCGGCUGAUUAGCUAGUUGGCGGGGUAAUGGCCCACCAAGGCGAAGAUCGGUA